This is an RNA transcript of Rhinolophus ferrumequinum (greater horseshoe bat), 4435 nucleotides long. It is a transcript of the gene named CD200 molecule, with no coding region annotated. The transcript is spliced from 8 exons. NCBI's taxonomy places the organism in Eukaryota, Metazoa, Chordata, Mammalia, Chiroptera, Rhinolophidae. The record is from RefSeq and is a predicted model, not a curated record.
GCUGUGCCCGGCAGAAAGGACGUGGGCUGCAUAGGAGCUGGUAGGACCCGCCUCACUCCACAGAGCUCCCCCCACAAGGUGCGCAGCCUGCUCCUGCGUGAGAGCCCUUGGGUUUUCCAGCUGAAGCCGGCCAUUCCGCGCAGACAGGACCGAGGAUGGAGAGGCUGGUGUUCGGGAGGUUCUUCUGUCAUCUCUCUACCUACAGACUGAUUUGGUUCUUGGCUGCAGUGACGCUAUGCAGGGCACAAGUGGUGACUCAAGAUGAAAAAAAGCUGCUGAACACACCUGCUUCCUUACGAUGCUCUCUGGGAACUUCCCAGGAAGUCUUGGUUGUGACAUGGCAGAAAAUCAAGGCUGCUAGCCCAGAAAACAUGGUCACCUUCAGCAAGUCCCAUGGUGUUGUGGUCCAGCCAGCCUAUAAGGACAAGAUAAACAUCACUGAGCUGGGACUCCAGAACUCAACCAUUACCUUCUGGAAUACCACCCUGGAGGAUGAGGGAUGUUACCAAUGCCUCUUCAAUACCUUUGGUUCUGGGAAUGUCUUAGGAAAAGCCUGCCUCACUCUAUUUGUACAGCCCACAGUAUUCCUCUACUAUAAAUUCUUUGAAGACCACCUAAAUAUCACUUGCUCUGCCAAUGCCCGCCCAGCCCCUGUGAUCUCCUGGAAGGUCUCUGGGUCAGGAAUGGACAACAGUACUGAGAUUCUUUCACAUCCCAAUGGGACCACAUCUGUCACCAGUGUCCUCCAUGUCAAAGACCCCAAGAGUCAGGUGGGAAAAGAGGUGAUCUGCCAGGUGCUGCACCUAGGGACUGUGACCAGCUUCAGGCAAACUGUGAACAAAGGUGUUUGGUUUUCAGUUCCACUACUGUUAAGUAUUGUUUCCCUGAUAAUUCUUCUGAUUUUAAUCUCAAUCUUACUGUACUGGAAACGUCGUCGGACCCAAGAUCGAGAGCCCUAGAGGAGUCAGAGAACCCUGAAAGUUAUUUUAUGGUCUCCUUGAAUCUGAUGCAGGAGGAAAGCAGGAGAAAAAGGGUCAUUCUCCAAGGGACCUGAAAGAGCAAAGGUGGUGGGAGUAUAAGGCCUGAAAAUUUCAAGACUUUCUACUGCCAUCGAAGUUACCCACUGCUUGUGAACUGAAAUGAACCUGGCGCCCCCUUGAGGACAGUGUUCUCCUGCAGCCCCCUGCAGUGGUUUUGCUUUCCUUGGACCACUGACCCUGAGUAUGGCAGUGUGGCGUGGGGAGGUACCUCUGUUGCCUCUCAGUGCCAUUUCUAGGUCGUUUUCCUUUCUGACUCCGGGAAAAGCCUUUUCUUUGAAUCUCAACCCAUCAAUGUACUAACCCCUCCUCUUUCUUAUAGAAGACUUUCUAUCUCCCUCCGGUAAUUCCCCCUGAUUCCUUGAAGUUUUUCAUUCCUGGUUGACUGCCACUGUCUCCUAAGCUACUUCUGUCAUAAUUAUUGGUUACAACAGUAUGUACAUAGGUGAUUCAUUCAAUUUCCUGGCCUCUUCCCCUCCGGUAACCUGGUGCUCACUCUACCUCGGGCCCUUCGUUCUGUGCUCAUAUCCUAAUCUUUUUGUUAUUAUAGAAAUUGCUACUCAUUCAUGACCUCAUUUUCACAUUUCCCACUGCCGUAAGACAACCUGCUGUUUAUUUCCUCAAGUACUCCAACUGUAACUAUUCUGUAUUUGUGGUUCUCAACUGAGGGCAGUUUUAACACACACACCCUAACCCCCCAGGAGACACUUGGAAAUGUCUGGAGACAUUUAUGGUAGUCACCACUGGAUCCUAAGAGAAUGCUAAUGGAACCUAGUAAGUAGAGGCCAGGAAUGCUAUUAAACAUCCUACAAUGCGUGGGACAGCCCUCCACAGCAAAGAGUUAUCCAGUCCAAACUGUUAAUAGUGUGAGGUUGAGAAAGUCUGCUUAAUGUGAUCGGGUUCUACAGUCCAGUGAUUCUACCAUGGUGUUAUGGAUUGAAUUGUGUCCUCCCAAAAAAGAUACAUUGAAGUCCUAACCUUUGGUUCCUCAGAAUGUGAACUUAUUUGAAGACAAGCUCAGUGCCAAUAUAAUUAGUUAUGUUAAAAUUGGGUCAUGGUGGAUUAGGCUGGACCUCUAAUCCAACAUGACUGGUAUCCUCAUAAAAAGAAUGCCAUUUGAAGAGAGAGACUCAGGGAGAAUUCCGUGUGAAGAUGGAGGAUUGGAGUGGUGCAUCUACAAGUCACGGAAUGCCAGCGAUUACCAGCAAGCAACCAGAAGUUAGGAUGAGGCAAGGAAGGAUUGUUCCCCAAGGGUGUCGGAGAGAACAUGCCCUGCUGAUACGUUGAUUUUGGACUUCUAACCUCCGGAACAGUGAGCCAUAGGGUCUCCAUCUACACGUGCAUGAAUGUGAGGAAGCUUUAAAGCAGAUCACGAGGAAACAUACUUGAAUGGAAUAAAACUUGCUGCUGGCCCUCCCAGACUACUUCAGACUCCUCCUGCCUGACCACUUCUCCUACCAGGCCUUCUCCCAGAUUCAGUAGGUUCAACCAUAAAGAUUUUCUGUUCCUCUCACGCAUCCGGGCCUUCCUUGGCAUUUGCUAUUUCCUCUACCUCAAUUAUGAACCUUCUUUGUCUUACCCACUUCUAUACUUCCAAUGUCCAAACAGUACCUUCACAUAAUAGCCACUCAGAGAACACGUGUGGAUACCUGAAUGGAGAACAGGAAGAGAAAGAACCUCUUUCAACAGCCUCUUCAGCAUUUUUCACUGCAGUUCACUCAAGGAGCGGAGGGGACCCUCUUGGACAGCACCAGACUUGCUUUCUGCCUCCUGCACAGGAAAGGUCUCGCCACCAUCCUUCAUGCAGCUUUCUGGAAAGUUCACAAAGUAAAGACUUUUAAAGGUACAGAUGGACUCUGUGUACUUGGUCCUUUUUUUUUUAUACUGGGUGUCCAAUGUCCUACCUAACCCCACAGAAUAGAGGCCGAAUAAAGGAGGAUUUCGGCUGCCUUUUUUAUUUACUUUUUACUGACUUUUCUAUUUUCUCUGUGACCUGGAGCAACUCAUUGAUUUUUGUACAUCUCUUUCCUUACACAUAAAAUUGGUUAAAGACAAUAUUUGGCUCAUCAGGUUGCAGUGAAUAACAAAGAUAAUGUUUUUUAUGAUUUUGUAAAGUUCCUCCAGAGGUAUAUCCUCAAUCAAUGUUAACUGUAUUGUGGUUUCUGGUGAUGCUAUUAUUAGCUAUGAAAUGAAGGAAAGUCUCACUUGGUGGAUUUCAAACUGCAUUUCAGAUGACUGAAGUUUUCUUAGAGGUAUUGCAAAUUCUGAGAAUGUUUAAUUCUAUUUUUAAUAAACAUUUUAGUUUUUUUUUUUUUAAAGAGACUUUAGUUUUAAGUUCACAGAAAAAUUGAGCAAAACAGAUGAGGUUUCCCACAUUACCUUGCCCACUCUCCCUAUACAGCUUCCCCUAUUAACACUCUUCACCAGGGUGGUACAUGUGUUAUAGUCAACUAACCUACACUGACAUAUCAUUAUCGCCCAAAGUCCAUACUGUAUAUUAGGGUUCACUCUUGGUGUUGUACAUUCCAUGGAUUUUGACAAAUGUAUAGGCAUACCUUGAAGGUAUUGCAGGUUUGGUUCCAGACCACCAUGAUAAAACGAAUAUUGCAAUAAAGCAAGUCACACAUAUUUUUUUUUGGUUUCCCAGUGCAUAUAAAAUUAUGUUUACACUAUACCGUAGUCCAUUAAGUGUGCAACAGCAUUAUGUCUUAAAAAAAAUGUAUAUACCUUAUUUAAAAAAUACUUUGUUGUUAAAAAAAAAAAAAAAAAGCUAAGCAUCAUCAGAGCCUUCAGCCAGUCAUAAUCUUUUGGAGGUUUUGCCUUGAUGUUGCACUGCUGACCAGGGUGGUGAUUGCUGAAGGUUGGGGUGGCUGUGGCAAUUUUUAAAAAUAAGACAACAAUGAAGUUUGCCAAAUCAACUGGCACUUCCUUUCACAAAUUAUUUCUCUGUAGCACACAAUGCUGUUUAAUACCAUUUUACCCACAGUAGAACUUCUUUUAAAGUUGAGGUCAUUCUUCUCAAACCCUGUCACUGCUUUAGAAACUAAGUUCAUGUCACAUUCUAAAUCCUUUGUUAUCAUUUCAACAAUCUUUAUAGCAUCUUCCCCAGAAACAGAUUCCAUCUUGAGAGACCAUUUUCUUUGCUCAUCUAUAAAAAGCAACUUCUCACCCUUUAAAGUUUUAUCAUGAGAUUGCACUAAUUCACUUAUAUCUUCAGGCUCCACUUAUAAUAAUAAUAAUAUAAUGUAUAACAUAUAACAUAUAAUAUAUAGUAUAUAAUAAUAAUGGCACCCUCAAUUAUAAUAGUAACAUCACUGAUCAUAGAUCAUCAUAACAAAUAUAAUCAUAAUGAAAAAGUUUGAAAUAUUGGAAGAAUUAUCAAAAUGUGACAGAAACAU